Molecule: long non-coding RNA, 3358 nt
Organism: Mytilus californianus (California mussel)
Lineage: Eukaryota; Metazoa; Mollusca; Bivalvia; Mytilida; Mytilidae
Exons: 3
Source: RefSeq, a predicted model, not a curated record
AAUAUUCAUAAGAGGUGUAAGGUUUUACAUAAGCAAUGGUGGAGACAAAUUUCAGAUUUGUAUUUUUUCUGACUUUUAUAAAAACAUGUAAACAGGUAACACUUGCUUCAUAUGAGUUCCUAAUCCAAAGGUCAUAAACAGAACAGGGCAAUACUGGCCGUAAUGCAUGGAUGGAUCUGUCGUAGAGUUGACGAGGAAAGGUAACACUAGACCACUGAAAACAGAAUUAUAAGUUCAGUCUAGGUGGCCGAGUGGUCUAGAGCGAUGAACACAGUGCAGGCGGUGUUGUCUCGAUAUUCCAUUAGCAUGAGUUCGAAUCCCGGCGAGAGAAAAACAAAAAUUUGAAUAUUGGUGUGCUGUUAUGUAGAAUAGUUAUGUAUAUAUAUACAAGUCUAAAUUGAAAACAACGUUCAAACCAAUGAUUGCGUUGAGUAAAAACCGCAAUUUUUAUACGUGUGCAUGCAAAACAAAUUUCUUGGUAGAAGGGUCUAAAUACAACUGAAACAACAUUAUAUAUAUUGGGCAUUGCAUGUCCAGAAGGAGUGUUGUGUGAAAUGGGUUUAUCCGGGUCAACAAGAAUGUAUGGUCUCCCUCUGCCAGCUGCAACUUCUGAAGUGAAAAAAAAUAUAAAUAAAUGAAUGUUAGUAGUGCAACACGUGUUUGUUUUUGGAACUGAAUGACCUUUAAAAAGUGUAACAUUUAUAUACUUAGAGCAAUCGCGUGACGGUGAGCACUAUUGACAAUCUUACGAAGCGCUUAUAGGGAGCAACCAUUUAACUUCAAGGGGGGUGGGUUAUGGUUUUUUUUGUCUGAGUCAGAAUUUUUUUUUCGCCCAAAGCGCGAACAUUUUUUUUAAUUUUUCGACGCUAUCAAUCAAAUUAUUUUUUUUCAAAAUUUAACACUAAAAGGUACAAUGUAUGGGGAAAAUCUGGAUUCAGAAUAUUUUUUUUGUCAUCUGCUUGACCACAAUAUUUUUUUUCAUCAAAUUGGGUAACAGAAUAUUAUUUUUAGGAAAAAACCAUAAUCCCCCUUGAAGUUAAAUGGUCGUUUCAUCCCUUCCGUAAGUUUUACGGACGCCAUCACGAGUUGGUUGACCAUUAUGGAAUAUCCGUUUCACAGAUGAUAGCGGAUAUGUUCCUAAUGUCGUAACUACAAUCCCGUCCCCUUUUCCCGAAUGUGACCUACCGAUUUAGACUUAUUACGGGGUCUGUACUAACAUGAGCAACACGACGGGUGCCACAUGUGGAGCAGGAUCUGCUUACCCCAUCCGGAGCACCUGAGAUCACCCCCAGUUUUUGGUGGGGUUCGUGUUGCUCAGUCUUUAGUUUUCUAUGUUUUGUGUGCUAUUGUUUGUCUGUUGGUCUUUUUCAUUUUUAGCCAUGGCGUUGUCAGUUUAUUUUCGACUUAUGAAAUUGAAUGUCCCUCUGGUAUCUUUCGCCUCUCUUUUUCUUAAAUCUGCUGGAUAGUUGUUUCAUUGGCAAUCAUACAACAUCUCCUUAUUUUUUUCAAAUCACCCAAGUAUAAAAGAAAUUUUGAGUAACAGAAAGCAUGUUUCUGAAUUUGAAUUUAAGAAAGUAUCUAACGAAAAUGUCAAUAAAAUCUUGAAUAAAAUAAACAUCAAGAAGGCUACAGGAGCUGAUGGUAGUCCAGCAAAAAUAUUAAAAAAUUGUAAAUCUUAUAUUGCACCACAGCUGACAACUCUUGUAAAUUUGUCAAUUGAAAAUAACUGUUUCCCUGAUAAACUUAAAGAAGCCCAAGUGACCCGCUUCAUAAAAAGAGUGACCCAUUAUUAAAAACAAACUAUAGACCAGUUAGUGUCUUACCCAUAUUUUCUAAAAUCUUUGAAAAAAUAUAUUAAAUUCAACUAACUGAAUACUUUGAUAAAAUAUUUAAUCCUUUUUUGUGUGCUUUUAGACGUGGACAUGGAUGUCAGACCACACUUAUCAGAGUGUUAGAAGAUUGGCGUGAAGCUCUUGAUAAAAACCAGUACAUUGCAGCGGUAUUAAUGGAUCUCUCUAAGGCUUUUGACUGCCUGCCUCACAAUAUCUUGCUAGAUAAAUUAUCAGUAUAUGGUGUAUCCCCCCAUGCAGUUGCUCUUUUAAAGUCCUAUUUAUCUAAUCGUAAACAACAAAUUAAGGUCAACAAUGUUCUGAGUGGUUGGGCUGACAUCCAUAAAGGCGUACCACAGGGUUCUAUACUAGGGCCAUUGUUGUUUAACAUAUUUAUAAAUGAUAUUUUUCUUUUUGUUAAAAAUGGUAGUUUAUAUAACUAUGGAGAUGACAAUACUUUGUCUUUCUGUACUACAGAUUUUGAUUUAUUAAUUUCAACUUUGGAAUCUGAGUCAAAAAUACUUAUUGAGUGGUUCCGGGUGAAUAAAAUGCAAGCAAAUCCCGACAAGUUUCAAGUUUUGGCUGUUGGCAAAAAGACCUUUGAACAAAACCCAUCUAUACAUAUUCAAAACUCGAACCUUACAUGUGAAAAAACAGUAAAAUUAUUAGGCAUUGAAAUUGACUAUCAGUUAAAUUUUGAUGUUCAUAUCAGCUCAAUCUGUAGGAGGGCAUCACAGCAAUUAAAUGUUUUAAAACAUUUGGGCUCAGUUUUGGAUAGACUUAGUAAACUUACUAUUUUUCAUACCUUUAUUCUUAGUAAUUUUAAUUUUUGUCCUUUGGCAUGUCAUUUUUGCACUGAGAAAAAUUCCAAAAAAUUAGAAAAGGUGCGGGAAAGAGCACUCCGUUUUGUAUAUGAGGAUUUUACCAGCCCUACGAGGACCUCUUACUUAAAACUAAGGUGCCCUCCUUGCAGAUUAGACGGAUUAGAACAAUGGCUCUAGAAACUUUUAAGAUUAUAAAUAAUAUAGCUCCUGUGUGCUUACAAAAUUUGGUGAGUGUCAAAAAAUCUAAGUAUUCUUUCAGGUAUGUAAAUAUUCUGGAUGUUCCACAAGUAAAGUCAACCCGUUACGGUAAAAAAUCUUUCAAAUUUGCUGCCGCUACUUUAUGGAACAGCCUUCCAAACCAUUUCAGGACUGAAAAUAGUUUUUCACAUUUUAAAAGUCUUGUUAAGUCCUGGAACGGUUUGAAAUGUCGCUGUUCUGCUUGCAGAUAAUUCUUGAGAUGUUUAUUAUUUAUGUUGCUUUUGAUUGCUUUGGUCUAGCAUGUUUUAUUUCAUUUUAAAUUUGUUGCUAAUUUUUUUAUUGCAUGCUAUGUAAGUGAGAUUUAACUUCGUAUAACAGGUUGUUUUAUAUGUCAAAUUAGACUGUUUUUAUGUUAUGUAUAUGUUUUUAUAUUCGGUCAAAAGCUCAUUAGAGCUUGUGUUAUGUCUUUUAACUUAUGCCGAAUCAAAAUAAAGUUUUCUUAUCUUA